GGGAAGGGGAGGGGAAGAGAGAGGGGGAAAGGGGAAGUGGAGGAUGAGAGGAAAGAAUCAAGGUCAGUAAUAAGGUCAGGGGGUUGCGGGAAGGGUCGAGGUCAGUAAGGUCAGGGGUUGAGGGGAAGGGGGAGGGGAAAGGGUGACGGGAAGGGAGCAAAAUCAGAAAUAAGGUCAGAGGGCUCAAACAAGGUCAGUAAUAAGGUCAGGGUGUAAUAGGGGGUUGCGGGAAGGGUCGAGGUCAGUAAGGUCAGGGGUUGAGGGGAAGGGGGAGGAGAAAGGGUGACGGGAAGGGAGUAAGGUCAGAAACAAGGUCAUUAACAAGGUCAGAAUACAAGUGCAAGAGUUCAAGGCCGAGUAUGUCCUCAACUCGACUCG
Eriocheir sinensis (Chinese mitten crab) is the source of this 378-nucleotide long non-coding RNA. RefSeq lists it as uncharacterized. The record is from RefSeq and is a predicted model, not a curated record. The transcript has 3 exons. Lineage: Eukaryota; Metazoa; Arthropoda; Malacostraca; Decapoda; Varunidae.